RNAcentral lists this long non-coding RNA (10515 nucleotides) under Ananas comosus (pineapple). Its description in RNAcentral is "long non-coding RNA (ACOM_LNC017493)". Lineage: Eukaryota; Viridiplantae; Streptophyta; Magnoliopsida; Poales; Bromeliaceae. The record is from RNAcentral.
AGAGAGAGAAAGAGAGAGAGAGUCCGGCUACUAUACUCUUAUAAAUACGAUCGCCUUCGUACUCAUAAGUCGUUUUCAAUGAUAGAGCUUCUGAAUAGACCAUCCAUAGUUAAACAUCAUCUUGAACAGUUAAAACUUUUAAAAAUCAAAUUUUAUAAUUUUUUGAUAUUAUUUACCUUACGGUCAAAAGAUCUCAAAAUUGACAAUUGUUAACAGUGGGAUAUUUGCUAUUUUAACGAUAUAAAAGAAUUAGAAUUAAUUGAAUUUUUGAUAUGAAAUUAUAUUAACUAUCUAGAUAAAAAUCAACUUAUGAGUACCAAAGGCUAUCUAGAUAAAAAUCAAUUUUUAUUAUGAAAUUAUAUUAACUAUCAUCCAUUUUUUUGAUAUGAAAUUAUAUUAACUAUCUAGAUAAAAAUCAAUUUUUGAUAUGAAAUUAUAUGAAAUUAUAUUAACUAUCAUCCAUUUUUAGAACGUCGUUUGAUUUUGAUAAUUUAUUUUUUGCCCACUUUGAUAGACAUUAUUAUAAUUUCAAAAAAUUACAAAAUUUAUUUUCAAAAAUUUUAAAUACUCUAAAUCAUAUUUAACGAAUUGAAUCGUCGAUUCAAAAGCUUCAUUAUCGAAAACAACUUAUGAGUACGAAAGGCUCAAUACUCAUAAGAGUAUAGUAGCCCUACUUUUAUAUAGUCCGGCUACAGUACUUGUAAAAGCACCAAGCACUUGAUUGUUUUAAAUUUUUUACCUUCAGAUCUACCCUUUGAUUAUUUUCACCCGUUAGAUCUACUAUUUAAGUAACAACCCACUCAAUACUAGGGGUCCCACAUCAUCUAACCGCACAUCUCUUAAUCCAAUGGACAAAAAUUAAUCUACAACCACCAAUAACUUGAUACUUUCAAAAAGUAUAGGAGCUCAAUUAAUUUUAUAUAUNNNNNNNNNNNNNNNNNNNNNNNNNAUAUAUAUAUAUAUAUAUAUAUAUACUAUAUAUGAUAUCAUACUAUAUAUAUAAUAUAUAUAUAUAUAUAUAAUAUAUUAUAUUAUAUAAAAUUAUAUAUCGGUAGUGGCGGCUGCUGUGCUCUUAGUGAAGCACGGAAGGCCUCCGUGCUCCUGAGCCGUUCUUCGGAUGAUUAGAAUUUCGAAUCGAACGAUCGGCUGCGUUAGAUCUUAUUUAGCACAUUUGUAGUUUCUAGAAAAUAAUGUUUGCGAUUUUUUGAUAGUCAUACCUAGUGAGUCGAAUAAGAAAAAAAAAAAAAAAAAAAAAAAAAAAAAAAAAAACAAAAAAAAAAAAAAAAAAAAAAAAAAAAAAAAAAAAAAAAAAAAAAAAAAAAAAAAAAAAAAAAACAAAAACAAAAAAAAAAAAAAAAAUGGAUUUAAAAUUUAUAGUUUUUAAUGAGUUGAUAUCUGCCGUUUGCAAGUUUAACGGUGUAGAAGAUUCAAACAGAAGAAAAUUUUGCAUACAAAUUCUUUAUAUACUAUCUUAUAACAAGAUCAAUAUUCUGACGCGAAAAUUUUUAGUCUAUCAUCGACGAACCAAAUCCAGACACAAGGAGGAACAAUAUUAGCUGCUUAUACACAUUUUUAUAGGAUUUUUAUUUUUCAACCAUUAACAAAUAUAUGUGAUUUGUCAUUUCGAUUAGCUAGGUACAAUGAUAGUCAAAAAAAUCGCAAAAAUUAUUUUCUAGAAACUCAAAUAUGCUAGUCAAGUUUAAACGAGCCGCAUCGUCGAUUCGGAAAAACUCUAUCAUUGAAAACGGCUUCAGGAGCACGGAGGCUCCGUGUCCGAGAGGACGCAGCCUGCUCUAUACAUAUUAUAAUAUAUAUAUAUAAUAAUAUAUUAAUAUAGAUAUAUAUAUAUUAUAGUGAGAUAUAUAUAUAUAUAUAUGUAAAACCCAGCCCAACUAGCAACAAUAAAUCUCGUGGGACAACAACCGCAAAUGCUUAAGCCAUUCAUUAUUACUAGUGUUUAGUCUCCUAUAAAACCCAAUGUACAACCUCAUUCCUAUCCAUGUGAGACUCAUCUCGCUAGCCCGUCAUCCGACCUGGCUCAGCGGAGACUCGUCACACAUGUUCCAGCUGGUGACCGGCUUUGAUUCCAAAUGUAACGACCACCACUAGCAACAAUAACUAGUUGGCCAAAUCAACGGGCCAAAUGUUAAGCCCAGUUUAUUAUUACUGUGUUAGAGUCUCUUAAUAAAACCAUGACAACCUCAUCCAUCCAUGAAUGCUGGGACUAUAUUGGGUGUCACAAUAGUAUUAUUCAAUAGGCUAGGACCAUGCCUGAAGUGGCACAAUGGAUGUGAGCAGGUCUACUGUUUUUCUUCUUACAAGUUAUUUUUUGUUGUUCUUGGGACAUUUAAUUAAAAAAAAACUUUAGUGGCUGGUUUCAUAUAGAAAAAUACUAAUAGCAAAAAUUUUUGGAUAUUCAUAAAUAUCUUUUUGUUUUGACUUGAUGUGAGUGAUUUAAUAAAAUUAAAAAAAAUUAAGUCUUUAUUAUUCAAUGGGACAAAUUGCAUUAGACACUUUAUUAUUCAAGCAAAAAUAUAACAGAUUAUUAUUACACUUAAUAGACUAUAGAUUUUUGUAAAAAUUUUGUAAAAGAAGAAUGUGUUUUUAUAUAGAAUUGAUACUUGAUCAUGUAACAAUUAAUCUUAAAAUUAUUACACUUUAGUUAAAUUAGUACUAUAUUUUGGUAGAAUAGUACUAUAUAGAAUAUUAGAUUUUAUUAUUUAUAAGUUUGUAUUUGUGGAAUAUUUUCGCUUUUUUAUUUGCUGGUAUUUAAUUUUUAGAGGGCUUAUUAUAUGAAAUUCCGUCUGCCUAGGAGGAGCAUUUUAUGCAAAUUAUCCCUUAAGGAUUGUUUAUACCUCUUUUGAGUUCGUGUACCUAGUGCAUGUGCACAGAGAAGAAGAGCUCUUGCACAAUAGAUGAGGUUUUUGAAACAGAAUCUGAGUGUGAAGCUAACUCUAUGUAUGCGACAAGAUUCAUGCGUCAGUUUUUUUUUCGUUAGUAACUUCCUGUGCUGUUACUUAGAUUUCUGUAGAUUUUUUCUUUUUUUUCUUCGUUGUUGCCAAUUAUACUGUAAAAAACCUCUAACUAAAGCUUCUUACGUUACAAAAUCCUAACACAUUCCACUAAUAAAUAUAACAAUGAUAUUAAUUAUCGAUGGUAUUUUAUACGUUAAAAUAAUCUAAUUAGGACGAAAUUUAAUAUCCGUCACUAAUAAAAACUGAAAAGCUUUGAACAUAUUUAAUAGGACCAAAAUAACUUUACUGCUAAAACUUAUAUUUGAAUUAGUUGUGAUUGGUUUAAUUUUUUUUCACACUACGCAUUUAGCACGAAUCAUAAUUAACAGUGACGAUGGGUUUAAUAAUUACGACUAAGUAUGUGGUCGCUAAACCUAUUUUGAAGCCAACACACAUUAAUAUUUGGUUGCUUAAUACAUUAAAGAUCAUGUCUACGACAUUAUAUUUUCAUAUUAUUUAUAAUAAAAGUUAAGUUACUUUAUUUGCGUUAAAUUAAAAUUGUAAGUUUAAGCUUACUAUUAUAUAUAUAGUAUUUAAUUUUUAUAAUUUUAUAAGAAUUAAUUAUCAUAUUUAUGAUAAUCUGAUAUUAUAUAAGUUUGAUCCUGUAUAUGGGUUUUUCGAAACUUUCCAACUUGAUUUUUUUUCAGUUAGUAAAUUCUUCAAAUUUUUUUAUCUAAGUUAUUUUACUUAAUUAACUUUACAAUUUAAUAUAUUUAAAUGACUCUAUUUGUAAUUAGUUUUAAUCGGAUUCAUUGUUUAAUAAGAACAAUAAUAAUUAAAUGGUGAUGAAAUUAUCACUUAUUUGAAAAUAUUAAUAAUUAUUGACUAAAAUACUUAAUCUAAAUAAUAAAAAAAAAUCAAAAAAUAGAAACAUAAAAAGACUAUUUUGAAAAUAACUACAUACUUAAUAGGAGGCUAAAACGCAAAAUUCCCUAAUAUAAACCCUGACCUGCCCUUAGCCGCCGCCUCUCUAGCCGUUCACAUCUCCGAACACUUCUACCUAGGUUUUUUUUGUUUUUUUUAAACUUUCUUCUUACUUCAUCUUGAUUCUUUCUCAUUUAUUGGAAGGAAAUAGAUAAUCCAGUUUGCCUCGUUUGUUGUUUUUUCCAUUGAUAGGAACAAGAAGAGGUUUGUUCUCUAUUACUACCUCCACUAAGAUAACGACCCAACAAUCACGACUCUAUCAAGAAAAUUGACAAAAUUAUAGAUUCUCUGAUAAAAAUUUUAUUUUAUUUUUUUACCUAAGCAAAAGAUGGAUUAAUUGGAUUUUCCUUUAAAAAAUUUAUCUUAUUUUCUAAUCUUUCAAUUAAUACCUUAAGAAUAAUUUAAAUAGUUAUUCUUUGCGAUGUAUGUGGAGAGAAUAGAAGAUAUGUGAAUAGAAAUAUAUAAAUAUUAAUUCUUCGUUGAAGAAAAAAAAAAAGAUGGAACCACACAUAUGGGGAUUUAUUUUAAGUAGGAGACAAGAGAGAGUUUUUUUCUCCGUUACCUUCCACCACAAGGACGACGCCUGCAAGCCAACACUCGCGACCCAUCAAAAAAUGACAAAUUAAUUUGAUCUUUGAUAAAAAUAUUUAUUUUAUUUUUUACACAAGAAAAAGAUGGAAUUAAUUUCUAUUUCUUUUUAAAUAAAUUUUAUUUUCUAAUCUUACAAAAUUAAUACUUAAGAAAUAGAUUAAAAUCUGAUGAGUUUGCGAUGUAUGUGAUGAGAAAAAUAUAUUGUGAAUAAAGACACUAUAGACAGUUAUUCUUUCCUGAGGAAAAAAAAAAAAAAAGAGGAACCCACACUUAUGGAUUUAUUUUAUAAAGAGACAAGAAAUGGUUUUUUCGUCCAUUAUCUUCCACCGACGAGGGUCCAAAAUCACGAACAUCAUAAAAAAUGACAAAUUUAAUUAUGAUUCUCUUGAUAAAGAUAUUUAAUUUUAUUUUUUUACCAGAAAAGAUGGGAUAUGGAUUCUUUUGAAAAAAUUAUUUUCUAAUCUUACAAAUUAAUACUCAAGAAUAGAUUUUAAAAUAUUGAUGAUUCUGGCGAUGAUAGUGUGAGAGAAUAGAAGAUAUUGUGAAUUGAAAGAUAUAAUAAUAGUUAUUUCUUUCACUAAAGACAAAAAAAUAGAUGGAACCCACACAUAUGGAAUUAUUUUAAGUAGGAAUACAGAAGAGUUUUUUUCUCCAGUAUCUUCACCAACAAGAGCCCUUAUAAAUCACAAUCCAUCAAGAAAAGAGUAAAUUAAUUUAGAUUCAUCUUGAUAAAAAUAUUUAUUUUAUUUUUUAACCAAGAAAAGAUGAUUAAUUUGGAUUACUUUUAAAAAAAAUUUAUCUUUUCUAAUCUAUACAAAAUUAAUACUAUAGUAAUAGAUUUUAAAUAUUGAGGUUGGUUUGUGAUGAUUGAAAGAAUAAAGAUUAUCAUUAAAGUUAUCUUUCACUAAUUAAGAGCACGAAAAAAAUAGCAUGAACCCACACAUGAUGCGAUCUAUUUUAUGUUAAGUUAGAGAUAGAUAGAAGUGUGUGAACUGCCCCCAACUCCAGGCACACGAGGUCACCCAUCCUAGAACUACUCUCGUCCAUAGCACCGUAACCUUCUCUUAACGCUUGGGCCUCGGUCUGAACCAAUCCAAAUCACACGGUUUUAAGUAACGACCCAGCACUAGCAAUAACAACUCGUUGGCGUCAACUAACAGCCAAAAUGCCUUAAGCCCCAGUUAUAAUUACUAGUGAUCAAGUCUCUUAUAACCCAGAUCAACCCCUUUCCGAUCGAUGUGGGACUAAACCCCGUUCCCGAUCCAGAUGUGGGACUAUUGGUUGUCACAGACUCCCCCCGUUAGCCCUGACAUUUCAUCGUCAGGUCCGAAUCACAACAGCUCACAUCACCAGCGAUAUUGAGGACUCGUCUCGCUAGCCCGUCAUCCAGACCCUGGUUUAGCCGAGGAGUCGCCAACAUGUAAGUCAGCGGGUGAACCGCUUUGAUACCAAAGCUGUCGACAGCCCACUAGCAUAAUAACUCGUUGGGCCCAACUAAAGCGCCUAAAAUGCUUAAACCCAGUUAUUUUACUAGUGUUAUAGUCUCUUAUAAAGCCCCAUGACAACCUUUCCAUCCAAUGUGCGCGGAUGAUUGGGCGCUGUCGCAGAAUUAUUCUCUAUCAUCUAUAAUUUUUUAUUAUUAUCUUAGAUAUAGUGAUAAAAUAAUUCUAACUUAUAUAGGAUAUUUUGGUAAAAUCGUUUUGGUAGAAUGCUGCAUUUUCAAAAAAAAAAAUCAUUAAUAUAUGUAGAAGUCUGUAUAUUAACUUUUAGGUGUAAAUUGAAAUAAAAUGAGUUAAGAUUUCAGAUUCCCCCAGAAUUCUUAUGUCAAUCUUUUUUGGCUUUUCGCUGUGGGGAAACAUACGAUGUACAGUGUUAGUUAUAACGUUAGGGGUUUUGUUUUUAAUUUUUUUGUACAGUUAUUUUAUCAAGUUAAUUUUUUUUUUGUUAACGAUUUUGUUACUGUGCACUUGAUGUUUGAUUUUCUGGUAAAUGAUGUUAUUUUGAUUACUGUCAUAUUAUGAUACCAAUGAUAAAGGUAUUUAAUAUCCGUGAUUUUUUGUUAUCAGAUUCCACUAAUUUUCGUUAAACUCAGUGAUAAAGUGUAAACUUUUUUUGUACGUUAAAGUGAAUAUUUCAUAAAUCUAGUUGGAUAUUCUGAACUUUUUGUAGAUAAAUUACGAAAUAUUUAACGGAGAUUUGAGUGAUGUAAAAUAAACCACACCUUAACUGUACAGGGUAUUAAAGUGAAAUGUUUUGUUAGGCCGGAAACCACAAAGGGGUAUUUAAAGUUUUUAUUUUUAUUUUUUUAAUAUCAUGUUAGUCUUUUAUUUGGAAGAAUAUUAAUUAAAUAUAACAAUCACAUAGAUAUAUAUAUUGAAUAAUAUUUAGGGGUGUAAAAUACACAGUUAAGUGUAAUCGAAAUUAACGGAUUACAUCCAGGGCAGGCAAUAUGCCCACGUAGUUCCCGCUUCUUUCCGGUUGGUGCCUGGAGGUUUGACGUUGAAAGUUAAUAAAAUUAAUAUAAAAUUGACGAUGUAUUGAGCGCACGGCGACGACAUCAUAGUGGGAAAAAUUCUUAAAAGUAAGCAACGGGUAUAUUAGUGACGCUGCGUAACAAACAAUGGCAAAUAUAAUCUUUUUUUUUUAAAUAUAUGUCCCGAUCCAUGAUUGUAAAAAAGUAGUUUUUAUGUGGUACUUAUUGUUUUGAGAAACGAAGGAAUGCUGAGUUGGCUUGUUAUGAUACGUGUGCAAGUGUGACAGUGUAUAAAUUCCUGCCAAUAGGGAGGGGAAACCAUGUCACAUGCAGAAACGAUGGAUCUACAUGAAACGAAAGCACAUUCUCACCUAACAACUAAUAACACAUAUUUUUGAGACUUAAACUUGGUCAAAUUAAUUGCGUCAAAAAUCAUGAACACAUUUACAGAAAAAAAAUCAGGCAUAAUAAAAAAAUUAGGAUUGCCAGCAGCUAAAACUGCUAAAAGAAAAUAUAAAAAUUGAUGGUAAUAUUUGCUCCAAUAGUUUUAAAAGUCUGAUAAAAGUGCAGGUGUCCGUUACAAUAUCUUGCUGUAUAAUCUUUGCCUAAUCACUUUUACUAACUAUUGGUGAAGAUGAUCUCUACAACAUCUUAAAACUGUCGGUAAAACUACAAACAAACACGUGUAAAUAGCAUGGACCGACAGUUUAUUUUCACGUUGGCCAAAGUUUUUACAACUAAUAUGAAAAAAAUACUAAUAUCAACAAAUACAUUCGGGCUUUUCCAUUUGAUAUUAAUAUAAAACCAAAAAACAAUCUGUAAUCAUCGGAAAAAAUCAAGUAUAUUAAUUACUAAUUCCAUAAGAAAAGUCUAUAACAAAACAGUAAAAAUGGUUGUAACAAAAACUAUAAGAUGAUACAUCAUGAUCUAUGUGUGAUAAAUUGCAACAAACAUGAAUUUUUAUGUACUAUAGAAAUCAAUGCAAUAGAAUAAUUUAUUUUGAAUCCGCAAAUGAUAGUAAGCUAAGAAAAAGAGGAGUGAAAAGCUCAGAAACAUUCUGAAAACGGCGAAACAUCAAAUCAUGCUUGUGGUCAAUCUGGAAUACAAAAAAAAGUUGAAACAUAUAAAUUGAUAAGCUUCAUUCUAAAUAAACAACAUCUAUCAUAGUACAUAUAGCAAAAAUAAAAGUAUACUAAACAUAAGAACUAAAUUUUUUAGUUCCAAUUAUUAGUCAGGUCAAAGUUAAGCAGCUUAAUUUGUCGUUUAAUUAAAUCAUAAAUGUCCUUUAUGUCCACUUAUUGGGUUCGACUUACUCGAUCGGGAAAGUACGACCAAUUAAUGUUGAAUCGCCGAAAUAUUCUAUUAUUUUAGUUUUAGUGUUGAUAUGGUUGAACCAUAUUUUGAAUAGAGAUAUGAAAUUAGAGAGUAACUCAAUAAAAUAAAUAUAAUUCAAUUUAUUCUGUAAAAACUUCAUUACUUAAAGUAGGACAAAAAUUAAUUCUCUUCCAAAAAUAAAGUUAUAUUCCAUUCAAUACUGAAUUCUAUUCAUCUAACGACAAACAGAUUAGUUACUAUUUAUCCAUUUUUCGAUUCGGUGAUAAAUAGCAGUUAGGGGCAAGAACUGCUUUUGGCUUUCCUAGCUAAUUACAACGAAGUGCUGUUCAUUGUUAAGUGCUUCAAAGUCAUGCAUUAAUUGGAUUAAUUACUUCUGUUCACAAGAUUCCGACGAAGCAAGGAAGAUAUGAAAAAUUAACUAAGAGAUAUAAUGACUUGAAUGCUGUGAUGUAGAAACCUUGUUACACUGGCUCCCCAAAACCAAUUCUAUUAGCACCGUUAUAUGUAGUUAGUACCGCUUCAAAAAGAUCCCUAACUCUCAAAAGUUGCUUAAAGAAUCAUAAAUUCAAAUUUAACCUGAUAAAGUAAUUAAACUAUUAAAGUGAGCUAUCAGUCAUUUUAAAUUUUAACUGACAUGUAUAGAAGAUAUGAUCAAACAUACUUAGUUAGCCUCAAUUUAAAAGUCCUAGUUUUCGUUUCCGCGUCGAUCACUAUUAUCACCAGCUAAAUCCAUGUACUCACUCAAACCUGCAUUAUAUUAGAAGCUGCAAAGCAUAAUAAAAUCAAAAGAAAUAAUACUGAUUUGCUUAUAUUUUAAAAUUUUAAAGUAAGAUGCAUUAUAUUGAUACUCUUGUGAGUAAAUUAAUAACAUACCGUUUGUGGUUAUUUUAAUGAUUAUCAUCUCCACACUUAGUUUGUCUAUAACUUUGUUAUUAUACAAUGUGAAAAAAAAAAUAUUAGUCUAAUCAUAUAAGAAAUAGAUAAAUCAAUAGCAAUAAUAUAACCGAAUAAAUUAGCACUGUAUUAUCUUUCCACAAUAAUAACUAGUCAUUAGACUAAGCAAAAUUUUUUUCAUAUUUAAGUACCUAAGUCCCAAAUAUCUUUUUAGCCUUAUAGGCAUCUUCUGGCUAUCUAGAACCGGAAGCUAUGUCUCACACUUCGAGCAAUAUAGAAAUAACUUUGUUACUAUCACCAUUAAAACACUUCAAACAUUAUAGACAAAAUGCUGUAAUAGUACUGUAUUUCUCACACCCAUCUUAAUCGAAAUUCUAUAUCUUCAAUGAGGUAAAAACUUUUUAACAUCUUCAUUCAUGCCUUCUGUAGAUUACAUAAACAGACAACAACGAAGCCACCAGACGCUAUCUGCUAACCUGUGAUAUUGUACGAUCACACCUCACUAAUGACUCGAUAAACAUUAAUAUUACCUCCCGGCCUUUUCUAAAUUUGAUUAUUCAUUCUGAAAAAACUCAUCUAACAUCAUGCAUAUUGCAUUAAUUAGGAUUCAUAAGGUAUAAUUACUAGUCUUUUGAUGCUCUCCAAAUGCAGAUCUCACCAUAAAAACACUCAAUUAUGUUAGUCUGGACUGAUUCCAUUUACACAACAGGAUCACGCCACUAUUUGCGUCAACGAUUUAGGAACUUCCAGACAUUUCAAACAUGGCAUGUCAACUCAUUUGCAUGCAUUUUGGAGAUCUUCUCUGGAAUUUUCGAAUCGACGAUCGGCUCCGUUAGACUUGAUCUAGCACAUUUGAAGUUUCUAGAAAAUAAUUUUUGCUAUUUUUUGAUAUCAUUUACCUAGUGAUCGAAAGGAUUUAAAAUUUAUAAUUUUUAAUGGUUGAUAUCUGCCGUUUUCAAGUUUAACGGUGUAGAAGUAUUCAAAUCAGAAGAAAUUUUGAUACAAAAUUCUUUAUACUAUCUAUAACAAGAUCAAUAUUUCUGAUCGAAAAUUUUAGUGCUAUAUCACCACUUUUUAUAGGAUUUUUAUUUUCAGCCGUUAAAAAUUAUUGAUUUUGAAUCAUUUCGAUUGCUAGGUAAAUGAUAUCAAAAAAUCGCAAAAAUUAUUUUCUAGAAACUUCAAAUAUGCUAGAUCAAGUUUAACGGAGCCGAUCGUCGAUUCGGAAACUCUAUCAUCGAAAACGGCUCAGUAGCACGGAGGCCUCCGUGCUCCUAAGAGCACAGC